Non-coding RNA from Parasteatoda tepidariorum (common house spider), 372 nucleotides. The record is from RefSeq and is a predicted model, not a curated record. Lineage: Eukaryota; Metazoa; Arthropoda; Arachnida; Araneae; Theridiidae.
UGUCCACACCAACCAGUGGGCUACCAAUUUAUUGAUGUAAUGGUAAACAUGAACGGGAUGGAAACAACAACGUAUACAUAUAGCCCUAAAUAUCAGAAUAUAGAGAUUUUCAGCUAUAUUGGUGGCUACGUUGGAAUGUGGCUUGGAAUCUCACUGGUUGCUGUAUUCGAUUUCUUAGAGACAGUUAUACUUAUCAUGAGCUAUCCUGUCAAGAGUUAUAAGAAAGCAAGAAAAAGAAACAGGAGGAUAGAGGACAUAAAAAUGCUUAGAAGGGAUUUGUAAAAACAAUUAAUGCCUUUUUAAGACAUUAAACUUUGUUUUAAGUAUUGUUAAAGCUUAAAAUUAUGUAUGCAAUAAAUUAUGUAUACUAUA